This 561-nucleotide small RNA is filed under the name Pan troglodytes (chimpanzee). RNAcentral describes it as "retained intron". Lineage: Eukaryota; Metazoa; Chordata; Mammalia; Primates; Hominidae. The record is from RNAcentral.
AAAGGAACCGGAAACUGGAUGGGGAGCUGGACCAGGUGCCCUUUGGGGAAGUAAGCAUGGUCCGGGACUGGUUGGGCAUUGUGGGGCCUGUGCUGACCCCUCCCCAAGAGCAUCCUAAACGACCAGUGCUGGGACUGGAGUGCCCACAGUCAGAAGUGAGUGGUGCCCGAUUCUGGGGCUUUUUCCGGAACCUCUGUGGACAGCCUGAGGUCUUCUUCCAUCACUGUUUUGUCCACAAUCUAUGCCCUCUGCUUUUCCUGGCUCCCAGCGGGCGCAACCUUACUCCUGCUGAGCUGCCUGCCAAGCAGCGAGAACAGCUUCUUGGGAUCUGUGAUGCAGCCCUCUGCCGGCAGGUGCAGCUACUGGGGGUGCGGCUGGUGGUGGGAGUUGGGCGACUGGCAGAGCAGCGGGCACGACGGGCUCUGGCAGGCCUGAUGCCAGAGGUCCAGGUGGAAGGGCUCCUGCAUCCCUCUCCCCGUAACCCACAGGCCAACAAGGGCUGGGAGGCAGUGGCCAAGGAAAGAUUGAAUAAGCUGGGGCUGCUGCCACUGCUGUUGAAAU